GCAACCUAAGAACACAAAGUUCAUCAGAUGGAUGCUCACACUUAUACUCACCGUGAGUACAUAGGAAUGUGAAUGUACAGGAGACGACUAAGAGGUACAGUUCAGCAGCUGGUUUUCUCCACUGGGGAGAACGUGACAAGGGAGAAGGUCAGAGCUCGGAGCUCCUAGAGUACACAGACACAUUUAAUGAUGGUUCCCUGGACGGAAGCUAUGAUGACUCCCUGUGGACACUUGGGCAUUUUGGGAAGAAGCAGACUAUCGGGACUCUUGUUCACUCGAUAAGACAAGCUGCCAUGUUGGAAAGGACUACAUGGGAAGGAACUGAAGGUGGUCUCUGGGCCAACAGCCAGCAAGGAACUGAGGCCCUCAACCCAACAAUCCUCAAGGAACAAAAUCUUGUCAACAAUACAUGAACGAAUGUAGUAGUAGAUUCUUUCUCAGUUGGGCCUUCAGGUAUGUCUGCAUAUAUUUAUUCACCAUUUGAACUUUCUUAAUGACUUCAUUCCACACCCACCAUUUGCUGUGAAAUCCAUCAAUCACAUACCAGUUCUGAUGUUGUUCUUGAUAAUAUUGCCUAAUCUCAUUAAUAUUUUUGCGGUGUUUUGAGUUUUUGACUGCCAUAAUUUGUGUGCUAUUGUGCAGUGGAUAAGGCAAACUAAUAAAGAAACAGAAUGAAUGGAAAAAGUUGUAAAAAACAUACUUGUUUCCUGGAUGAUUAAAGUUCAUUUCUUUAUCAUUGCUUUCAUCACACACAUUACCUUGGUUCCUUUUUUUUUUCCAGGAACAAUCUUUUGAAAAUCUCCUUGGAAGGCACAUCCAGCUCAAAGAUGACCAUGGGAAUGAUUGACCUAGAUUCCAGGAGGCUGAUUUGAUACUUAGUUACAGGAUAGCCAUCGAUGACAACACUAACAAGGGGAAACAAGAAAAUAAUUCCAGAUUUCUUUUCUCUCAUACCUUCCUUCCUGUUUUCUAGAAGCAGUCCAUCUCUUUAGGAGUAGCCCCCUGGCCUUCCUUGUGUAACUUGAUUUAUUGUCUUUGUACUUUGCCCUCUUUAUCUCUAUAUUUUUAACUUCGGUCAGCCCAAGAGCCAGGUGUAGGGCAGCAUACAUACAGACCCAGCUCUGAAUUCAUACACUUAGCAUCACAGAGCUAGGCUUUGGCAGAAUUCAAGAGAACACACAUAAUACCUUGAGCAUUGUGUUAUUCAAUUGGUGCUAUUACUUUAAGAAAUGAAACAGCGGAAAGAGUAUAGGUUUCAGAGGCAGACAGACUUAGAUUUGAGACCCAGUUUGACCUCUCUGAGUGCCAGUUUUUAGUAAAAUAGGGGAGAUGAUAUUUAACCCUUACAGUCAUCUUAAAGACUUAUAGAUCUAGUAUGUAAUGCAGCUAGAACAGGAACUGGCACAAUGAAUAGUAUCCUAGUAAGAGAUUAAGCAAAUAUGGGAAAACAAUGGUGCUCUAAGCUUGCUUUUAUACUAAAGUUCUGUGGGGAGGCCGGCAAGUGGGAGGAGAGACAGGGAGUUGGUGAGAGUAGCCCUGUGAUAUCUGAGAAAGAAUGUUCCAUCAGGACCCAUCAUGCCUCUGAGCAGAAAUGACAGAGAAUUUAAGUCAGUCCAACAGUCUGAGAUAAUGAGAGUAUUACUAUCAAACUCAGAUGAGGAAUAAAGGCAGUCCACAAAUUCUGGGAGGAGUGACCCCCAAGGUCUGGAAACUCCCUCUGAGGUGGGAGCAGGCUGGGCCUGCCAGCUGGUGGUCUUCAAGAGGGGCUGGUUUAGAGGAAGUCACAGGACCCCCUCACUCAGUGCUCUAUGGCCAAGUCUCUAGGCAGUAGUUCCAUGGCAGAGAGAACUGUAAAUUAAUGUAGCCAGGCAAACCUAAUAGAGAAUGUUAUGGGAGUGCCAUUGAUGUUUUGAGGUUUUUCUAAUGGAGAGUAGCUCAAUUUCUUUGCUUGUGAAAGGUUGCUUGAGUGACCGUCAGGAUUAGAAACAUUCAGGGUGAUUAGGCAGUCACUAUCCCGGUGUUAAGAUGAAAUAAAACAUUUGUGACUCA
Neofelis nebulosa (Clouded leopard) is the source of this 2049-nucleotide long non-coding RNA. RefSeq lists it as uncharacterized. NCBI's taxonomy places the organism in Eukaryota, Metazoa, Chordata, Mammalia, Carnivora, Felidae. The transcript is spliced from 4 exons. The record is from RefSeq and is a predicted model, not a curated record.